Molecule: long non-coding RNA, 577 nt
Filed under: Homo sapiens (human)
Lineage: Eukaryota; Metazoa; Chordata; Mammalia; Primates; Hominidae
Description: non-protein coding lnc-CD79B-2:1
Source: RNAcentral
ACCUACGUCCCCGUGGUUCCUCGACCAUCCAGGGCUGGAUGAAUGAAUGAAUGGAUGAGUUUGCUCCUCCCUCUCUUCUUCCCUUCCCUUCUGGUCUCCCAUCCUGCCCCAUCUGGUAGGAGGAUGAGGGGGUCUCUCAGGGACCCAGAUGUCAUGUGACCCUGUGGCCUCCGCAGAAGCCGCCGCAGCCUCUCUAUGAUGGGAACUCGUCCGUCUGCAGCACAGCUGACUACAAGCCCCCCGAGGAGGACCCUGAGGAGCAGGCAGAGGAGAACCCCGAGGGGGAGCAGCCUGAGGAGUGCUUCACUGAGGCCUGCGUGCAGCGCUGGCCCUGCCUCUACGUGGACAUCUCCCAGGGCCGUGGGAAGAAGUGGUGGACUCUGCGCAGGGCCUGCUUCAAGAUUGUCGAGCACAACUGGUUCGAGACCUUCAUUGUCUUCAUGAUCCUGCUCAGCAGUGGGGCUCUGGCCUUCGAGGACAUCUACAUUGAGCAGCGGCGAGUCAUUCGCACCAUCCUAGAAUAUGCCGACAAGGUCUUCACCUACAUCUUCAUCAUGGAGAUGCUGCUCAAAUGGGU